RNAcentral lists this ribosomal RNA (494 nucleotides) under uncultured bacterium. RNAcentral's name for it is "partial 16S ribosomal RNA". It matches the Rfam family "Bacterial small subunit ribosomal RNA", at positions 28 to 523 of the family's 1533-position model. The record is from RNAcentral.
GACGAACGCUGGCGGCGUGCUUAACACAUGCAAGUCGAACGAUGAACCUUCCAUGAUCUAUUCGUAGAGAUUGGGAGCGGAUGAGUGGCGAAUGGGUGAGUAACGCGUGAGCAACCUGCCUUAAACAACGGGAUAGCCUCGGGAAACCGGGAUUAAUACCGUAUGAGACCCCGCCUUCACAUGAAGAAGAGGUUAAAGAUUUAUCGGUUUAAGAUGGGCUCGCGUCUGAUUAGCUAGUUGGUGAGAUAAAAGCCCACCAAGGCAACGAACAGUAACCGGCUUGAGAGAGUGAACGGUCACAUUGGAACUGAGACACGGUCCAAACUCCUACGGGAGGCAGCAGUGGGGAAUAUUGCACAAUGGGGGAAACCUUGAUGCAGCGACGCCGCGUGAGCGAUGAAGGAAUUCGUUUCGUAAAGCUCUGUCAUAGGGGAAGAUAAUGACAGUACCCUUGGAGGAAGCCCCGGCUAAAUACGUGCCAGCCGCCGCGGUAA